This 444-nucleotide ribosomal RNA is filed under the name uncultured Streptococcus sp. RNAcentral describes it as "bacterial SSU rRNA". It matches the Rfam family "Bacterial small subunit ribosomal RNA", at positions 933 to 1382 of the family's 1533-position model. The record is from RNAcentral. Lineage: Bacteria; Bacillati; Bacillota; Bacilli; Lactobacillales; Streptococcaceae.
UGGAGCAUGUGGUUAAUUCGAAGCAACGCGAGAACCUUACCAGGUCUUGACAUCCCGAUGCUAUUUCUAGAGAUAGAAGUUACUUCGGUACAUCGGUGACAGGUGGUGCAUGGUUGUCGUCAGCUCGUGUCGUGAGAUGUUGGGUUAAGUCCCGCAACGAGCGCAACCCCUAUUGUUAGUUGCCAUCAUUCAGUUGGGCACUCUAGCGAGACUGCCGGUAAUAAACCGGAGGAAGUGGGGAUGACGUCAAAUCAUCAUGCCCCUUAUGACCUGGGCUACACACGUGCUACAAUGGUUGGUACAACGAGUUGCGAGUCGGUGACGGCGAGCUAAUCUCUUAAAGCCAAUCUCAGUUCGGAUUGUAGGCUGCAACUCGCCUACAUGAAGUCGGAAUCGCUAGUAAUCGCGGAUCAGCACGCCGCGGUGAAUACGUUCCCGGGCCUU